RNAcentral lists this ribosomal RNA (504 nucleotides) under uncultured bacterium. Its description in RNAcentral is "partial 16S ribosomal RNA". It matches the Rfam family "Bacterial small subunit ribosomal RNA", at positions 30 to 523 of the family's 1533-position model. The record is from RNAcentral.
AUUGAACGCUGGCGGCAGGCCUAACACAUGCAAGUCGAACGGUAGCACAGAGAGCUUGCUCUCGGGUGACGAGUGGCGGACGGGUGAGUAACGUCUGGGAAACUGCCCGAUGGAGGGGGAUAACUACUGGAAACGGUAGCUAAUACCGCAUAACGUCGCAAGACCAAAGUGGGGGACCUUCGGGCCUCACACCAUCGGAUGUGCCCAGAUGGGAUUAGCUAGUAGGUGGGGUAAUGGCUCACCUAGGCGACGAUCCCUAGCUGGUCUGAGAGGAUGACCAGCCACACUGGAACUGAGACACGGUCCAGACUCCUACGGGAGGCAGCAGUGGGGAAUAUUGCACAAUGGGCGCAAGCCUGAUGCAGCCAUGCCGCGUGUAUGAAGAAAGCCUUCGGGUUGUAAAGUACUUUCAGCGGGGAGGAAGGCGGUGAAGUUAAUAACUUCACCGAUUGACGUUACCCGCAGAAGAAGCACCGGCUAACUACGUGCCAGCCGCCGCCGUAA